Macaca mulatta (Rhesus monkey) is the source of this 947-nucleotide non-coding RNA. The record is from RefSeq and is a predicted model, not a curated record. NCBI's taxonomy places the organism in Eukaryota, Metazoa, Chordata, Mammalia, Primates, Cercopithecidae.
CCACCUUGGACUCCCAAAGUGCUGGGAUUACAGGUGUGAGCCACCGUGCCCAACCUGUGUGUUGCUUAUUGACGGACACACCUGAGAAAGUCGACAUAAGGCAAUUCCGUCAUUGUGUGAACAUCACAGGUGCACCUACACAGACCUAGAUGUCACAGCCUACCACACACCUAGGCCACAUGGUGUAGCCUAUUGCUCCUACACUACCAACCUGUACAGCUUGUUACCCCACUGAAGACUGUAGGCAACUGCAACAAAAGGGUCUUUGCAUAUCUUUUGCUCGUUUUAGUCCUAGGCAAUGACAUAUUUUAAAGGUUCACAGCAAACUGAGCAGAAAGCAGAGAGAAUUCUCAUACACCCAUUUCCCCACAUACGUACAACCUCCCGACGAUCAAUAUCCCGCCCUGGAGUGGUAUGUUUGUUACAGUCAAUAAAUCUACACUGGACAGCACUUUGGAAGGCCAAGGCAAGAGGAUUGCUUGAACCCAGGAGUUCAAGACCAACCUGGGCAACAGAGCAAGACCUUGUCGGUAGGUAGGUAGGUAGACAGACAGAUAGCAUCAGUCUACACUGACACGCCAUCAUUACCUGAAGUCCACAGUUAACAUCAGGGUUCGCUCUUGGUGUUGUACAUCCUAUGGGUUUGGACAAAUACAUAAUGAUGUGAAUCCACCACUAUAGUAUCAUACAGAAUAGUUUCACUGCCCUAAAAAAUCCUCUGUGCAUCACCUAUUCAUCCCUCCCUCUUCCUUAACCCCUAAAAACUAGUGAUCCUUUUACUGUCUCCAUAGUUGUAUAGCUUUGCCUUUUCCAGAGUGUCACAUAGUUGGAAUCAUAUACUAUGUGAUCUUUUCAGGUUGGUGUCUUUCACUUAGUAACACGUGUUUAUAGUUCGUCAAUGGCUGGGCACAGUAGCUCACCCCUGUAAUCCCUGCACUUUGGGAGGC